Molecule: ribosomal RNA, 253 nt
Filed under: uncultured bacterium
Lineage: Bacteria
Description: partial 16S ribosomal RNA
Rfam family: Bacterial small subunit ribosomal RNA
Source: RNAcentral
UACGUAGGGUGCAAGCGUUGUCCGGAAUUAUUGGGCGUAAAGAGCUCGUAGGCGGUUUGUCGCGUCGAAUGUGAAAACCCGGGGCUCAACUCCGGGCCUGCAUUCGAUACGGGCAGACUAGAGUUCGGUAGGGGAGACUGGAAUUCCUGGUGUAGCGGUGAAAUGCGCAGAUAUCAGGAAGAACACCAACGGCGAAGGCAGCUCGCUGGGACGGUACUGACGCUGAGACGCGAAAGCGUGGGGAGCGAACAGG